RNAcentral lists this ribosomal RNA (441 nucleotides) under uncultured bacterium. Its description in RNAcentral is "partial 16S ribosomal RNA". It matches the Rfam family "Bacterial small subunit ribosomal RNA", at positions 338 to 795 of the family's 1533-position model. The record is from RNAcentral.
CCUACGGGAGGCAGCAGUGGGGAAUAUUGGGCAAUGGAGGCAACUCUGACCCAGCAACGCCGCGUGAAGGAAGAAGGCCUUAGGGUUGUAAACUUAUGUUGUAAAGGAAGAAAAGAAUGACGGUACUUUACAAGAAAGCCUCGGCUAACUAUGUGCCAGCAGCCGCGGUAAGACAUAGGGGGCAAGCGUUGUUCGGAAUUACUGGGCGUAAAGGGAGCGUAGGCGGGAGAUUAAGUUAAGAGUGAGAGCCUUGGGCUCAACCCAAGAAAUGCUCUUAAUACUGGUUUUCUAGGGUGGGAGAGGUAAGUGGAAUUCGUAGUGUAGCGGUAGAAUGCGUAGAGAUUAGGAGGAACAUCAGAGGCGAAAGCGGCUCUCUGGUCUGUAACUGACGCUGAGGUUCGAAAGCGUGGGUAGCAAACAGGAUUAGAUACCCGGGUAGUC